AACUGUGCAAACUUCUUAUCAUCUGCCAGCACUUUGUGUUCUUUCAGGAUAUGAUAAGAGGUAGCAGCACAUUGAGAGAAACAUCUUCAAGGUGAUUCUGCCCAGCAACUUGUGACUGAUUUUUGUGCAAACCCAAUGAAAUAUUAUCACGCCCUUUGUAAUACGAUCACGCCUAUGCUUUCAAUAAAACAGCUGAGCAACAGAGGAGACUUUGAAGAUGAUCGACCACGCUUUGUGGUGAACAUUGGAUCAGUCUUCCCUUUUGCAAAAGCGAGCUAAUAGCUGAAAAAGUUGUCCGUGUGUUCCUUGACUCUGCUGUGACGAUUCUUGGACCUGACAUUUCUUGGUGCCGUGACCCGGAUCCCAACAUACCCAUUUCCUGACUUGAGGAGGAGACCAGCUGAAGCCCGUCGACGGCCAGCCUGCAUAGGACAGAGCUGAAUCAAAGCCCUGGGAGGUGAUGUUCCCCGCCAGGCCGGCAAUUAGGAGUCUCCUCCACUCGACAGGACUGGAUUGACGGGAUCCGAAGCGUCCACAGGAGUCAACGAAACCGGACGGGAAAUACUCAAAGCCUGGAAGACCGUGAAGCCGGGAGAUUGGGUGUUCGUUAAGGUCAUCAAAAGGAAGUGUUGGUCCAGCCCAAGGUGGGACAGGCCAUACCAGGUGCUCCUGACAACACCCACCGCAGUAAAGAUCGCUGGAAGACCCAGUUGGAUUCACCUCAGCCACUGUAAGCUGCAGAGAGUGCUGGAGCCUCCGGACGAGUAGGGGGAAAGUCAACCUACAAAGGGGGGUUACUUUAUAGUGGUGAUUCGUCUCAAUGGUUGUGAAGAAAACAACAGAUCCCUACUCAAUUAGACGGAGCGCUUCUGGUGGCUCUGCAGUGUAGCAGCAAUGUCCCCGGCAACUGAGACGGACCAGCGGAGGCGCUGUCGUCGUCAGUGUGCUGAAGGAUGCCGUGCUGUAGCUGUCGUGAUCAUUUUCCUAUUUGGAGGAACAGUUUGGUGGCUCCUACAAGAUGUAAAAUGAUCAGUUGAAAAGAGAGCCAAUCCAGUCAUUCCCCAUUCUUAUGCAGUAAAUGAAUGGUGGAAGUAUGCAAAUUACACUGCAAAGAAUCAGAACAUGUCUAACUGCUAUGUGUGUACCCAUCUACCUAGCUCCGGAGUGAAUGCAGGAUUUUGGCCAUACAACGUGUCCAGCAACAAGACCCUCUGCCUCAUGGGACUGAGCACGCACCCUGGAAACACCAGCCUAUCUCAAGCUAACUACAGUGUACCGAUGAACCAUGCCCAAGUCCAGCAGGGUAAGGUACUAACUGGUUUCAACUGUUCUGCUGUAAGAGAUGUCCUCGACUGGCCACAGACAGAAAACCCUUAAUCGGUGCCAGGUGUGGUCUACAUUCAUCACCUGGACAAAGGAAGUUUCCCUUGGUGUGUGGUCGGAAAUGGAAGUGAAGAACUAGGUAUCACACCCUCACAUCUGUGCAAUCAGAUUGUUUCAUUCUGUCCUAUGACUAAUUACACUGCCUGCAACAAAUGUGUGAUGGCUGCUAAACUGUUUAACAAAUUCUACCUGCCUGUUCAAUGCCUGUUGGAAGAAUCAGACAGCAGGACAAUGUUAGUUGAAACAGACAGACAAGAUCACCCACCCUGAUGGUGGAGCCAUAUACCGGGCUCUACAGAAUCUCACUGCCCUACAAAGGUAUGUUGAGGAUCACACCCCGGGAGCCUCGACCACGGGACUGUUGGACUGGUUGACACAGGGCUCCUGGUGGCAAGUAUUAUUGAAAACUGUUACACCCCUUCUGAUCAUUUUGGCAUUAUUUUUUGUACUGUUUAUGUGUGUUUUACCAUGUCUUCGCAGUAUGGUUAUGCGCACUGUGAGUGCUUCUUUCCUUCAAUAUCAGAUGCUGGUACAGAAUCACAGCUAUGUUCCACUGAAUGUUAACAAUGUUGACAAGUAUGAUGACCUGAUCCUUAUGAUGAGGAUACUGUGUAAAAGAGACAUGCAUAAUGAUGUUCAUGUUGAAAAUGUGAAGAGCAAGUAACAUGGUACUGAUGAAAAUGCUGUCAAAUGAUAAACAGGAGGGAAAUGUGAGAACUGUGCAAACUUCUUAUCAUCUGCCAGCACUUUGUGUUCUUUCAGGAUAUGAUAAGAGGUAGCAGCACAUUGAGAGAAACAUCUUCAAGGUGAUUCUGCCCAGCAACUUGUGACUGAUUUUUGUGCAAACCCAAUGAAAUAUUAUCACGCCCUUUGUAAUACGAUCACGCCUAUGCUUUCAAUAAAACAGCUGAGCAACAGAGGAGACUUUGAAGAUGAUCGACCACGCUUUGUGGUGAACAUUGGAUCAGUCUUCCCUUUUGCAAAAGCGAGCUAAUAGCUGAAAAA
This is a long non-coding RNA of Notolabrus celidotus (New Zealand spotty), 2388 nucleotides long. RefSeq lists it as uncharacterized. NCBI's taxonomy places the organism in Eukaryota, Metazoa, Chordata, Actinopteri, Labriformes, Labridae. The record is from RefSeq and is a predicted model, not a curated record. The transcript is spliced from 2 exons.